Molecule: ribosomal RNA, 253 nt
Filed under: uncultured bacterium
Lineage: Bacteria
Description: partial 16S ribosomal RNA
Rfam family: Bacterial small subunit ribosomal RNA
Source: RNAcentral
UACGUAGGGGGCGAGCGUUGUCCGGAGUUACUGGGCGUAAAGCGCACGCAGGCGGUCUGCUAAGUUUGGAGUGACAGUUGGUGGCUUAACUGCCAAAGUGCUUCGAAAACUGACAGACUUGAGGGCUUCAGAGGGACACGGAAUUCCGGGUGGAGUGGUGAAAUGCGUAGAUAUCCGGAGGAAUACCAAAGGCGAAGGCAGUGUCCUGGCUGGCAUCUGACGCUGAGGCGCGAAAGCUAGGGGAGCGAACAGG